RNAcentral lists this long non-coding RNA (2968 nucleotides) under Vigna radiata. Its description in RNAcentral is "long non-coding RNA (VRAD_LNC001410)". The record is from RNAcentral. Lineage: Eukaryota; Viridiplantae; Streptophyta; Magnoliopsida; Fabales; Fabaceae.
AAAAAUAAGUUUUUAUUUUCUUUAUCAAGAACCAAAGAGAAAAAAUAAUUAUAAAAAGCACAUGCAAAUAUCAGCAAAUAUGUAAAAAAAUAAUUAUUAAGUCUUACUUAUAUUACUUUAUCAGUUAAAGACCUCUCUGCAUUAUAUCCUUCUUCUGUCGGCACUGUGCAGUGUUCGAUGCGAUAUGUUCAUGAUCUUAUCAGAGACAAAUUCGAAGGAAGUGCUAGGCUCGAGGUCCAACCACGUGCGUAGACGUUACCAUGUUCAUUUCUUGCAAUAUAAAACAAUUUUCUGAGAAACUGCUUCUGCAAGGUACUAUAAUUUAAUCAAAGGUCACACACCAUACACCACUUCUUUCAAAACAAAUCAGCCAGUUUAUCAGAAAAAUACCUCAUACUAAAGGUAAAAGGUUGACAAAAGAUUCCAACAUACUGAAAAAUUCCAUAUAAAAAGGAAUCAACUAACAUAAUAAGGGUGUUGAAAUCACACAAUAUUUGCUUUUAAUUAGUACAUUUUAAGAAAACUGGUUUAUCUUCCUCUGCAUAAUUCCAUGCUGUUAAUUAUCUCUAGAUAACCUUUAGCAAUUAGAACAUGGAAUCAGAAGUCUUAAAUCUUCUGGUUAAUUUCUUAAGAUCAACAUCUUAGGAGUUAAAAUUACUCCAUUUUAGAAAGCUUGCAGCAUAGGAACUGAAUUGAAUUGACAUAACUAAGAACUCAACAAUAAACACAAAAUUUCAGCCAUGUAAAUUCCCUCUUUUUUUCUCAGAACUUUCAACUGUUAUAUUGAGUAAUAGCAGUGGCCAGCAUGGAUUGUUUCACUAUUCACGACAGAGAGAUCGUAGUAAUCAUCAUCGACUCAUCAUAGUCUAAGCACAAAUUCCAUUGUCAUAAAAUAAACACAAGAAGAAAGGGCAAGAAAACAAGCAUUCAAUUUGUUUUCCUCUUUUCAAAUUGCAAAAACUUAACAUAACAUAACAUGUGAUAGCAGUAGUAGCAGUAGUCCCACCACUGAUGAAUAGAGAGAAUUGCAUUGAUACACAGAACAUGAUCUAAUCAUGCAAAAGACUAACCUAAUCAACCAGAAGGUACAUAAUAACAACACAAGGUGAAAAAACCCUUCCUAAUUAUUACUUUCAGUGUGUGUGGGUGGGAGAGAGAGAAUAGAAUUAAACUUGUUCUAAUUUGAGGCAAGGAAAAAUCGAAUAUGAUCGAGAAAGGUCAAAUUUUGAGGCCGAUCCUUGCGUUUCACAUAACCAAUCGUCUCUUUCUGCGAAUAACAUCUCAGCCCUCGCUUCCCGUUCUUCUUCCACAUCUCCAUCGCGUAAUUCCUGUGUGCAUAAUACGCCUCCGCGCAUGUUACCCCCACCACCGUCUCCCCCUCCGCCUCCUUCCCCUCCUCCUCCUCGCCCUCCCCCGCCGGAACCACCUUUAUUGGGAGACGCUCGUAGUGGGCGCGUGAUGUCCCCUCCAGUUCGUCCAUCCGAACGAGGCCGCGCGUGGAGACAGAGUAGAGCUCCCCGUGGACCCAACAACCCGACCCGGGAAUGUUGAGGAGGAAAGGGACCCGGUAUGGCCCGCAUACAAGAGGGUAUUUUCCGGCGGUGCGAUAGGUUCCGACGAAGGAAGCGUCGCCGGCGCGGAUGAGAUCUUGAAGAAGCGGGUGAUUGGAGAAUCCUCUCUUGAGGGUUCCGUAGGUGAAUAUUAACGUUCUCUCUCCGUCGCCGUUACCGUUAACCUCUCUUUCUCUUUCGGCCACCAUAUUUUCAGGAUAUGAAUUUGAUUGAGCCCGGAAGAGGAACAGAAGAUUGAAUGGUAAGCAUGAAAGAUUCACAACUUCCCUUUUUUAUAGUCCCAUUUUUUUUUUCUUUUUUAAUAUUCCUUUUUCCUUAAUUUUUUUGUGCCUUUAAAUUUCAUAAAAAUCAAUUAAGCCAAACUUAUUAGCACUUAAUUAAGAUUAAAAAAAAUUCUUGAUGCUUAAAUAAAUGGUUAUUCGGCUUUGAUAUCAUGGAAAGUGAAAAAAAAAUCAUCAACAUUUAAAUACGAUCAUGAUAAAAUUUUUUAAAAAUAAGUCACGUGUUAUUAUUUUAUUUACUCACUUAAAUUUAUUUAAAAAAAUAUUUAAAAUAAACCAAUCAUUAAUGUCUGUAGGUAUCUCCAAUUAAAUGUGCUCUCACAUGCGUUUAAUUAUAGUAUCUUGUUUAAUAAAAAAUACAGAGUUUUAAAAAUAGUACUUAAUAUUAGAACCUAAUAAAGUACAUAUUUUUUAAUCAUUCUUUGAAACUGUUCUGUCAUUUAAUGUCAAAAUAAAAUAAUUUAAUCUAACCAAAGUUUAGCAGACUCGGGGUUGAUACGUUUUAUAAUAAUUAAAAGCACACAAAAUGAAUUUAAAAUGUAUAAUUAUAAUACUAUAUCUAAAACAAAGUAUAAAUUUAUAAGCUUUUAAUAUUUAACAAAACAACAGGAAUCUACAAUUCAUUAAAUUAAUCUCUCUGAUAUUUCAGUUUUCAGUGAGAAUUAAUAUUUCUUAUUCCUAUAAAUAAAUAACUGAUAUUACUCGAUUUAAACGAAAUAAAGGAACAUCUAUUAAAUUUCAAAAUACUAAUUUACUAAUAAAAUAUUACUAACUUUUCAUUUAUUAUAUUACAUAUUAUUAUUUUUUUUAAAACUAAUUCAUUACAAAUAUAUUAUUCAUUUUAUAUAGAUACUUUUUUAAAAUUAUUUAAAAAGAAAAACCAAGAGUUGGAAUUGGGUUCGCCCUAUUCAGACACUUUUGUCAAAACAGGUUUAUUUGGAUAAGUAAAUUGGUUUUUUGAAUUUCGUUUUGAGAAAUAGGUUUUGUUUGGAAGGAUGAGUAUUAAUUAACGAGUAUUAAGCUCUAUGAUUGCAGUAAUCCAACUGAACCGGUGAGAUGCAUGAACCAACUAGAAGGAAUCACAUGAUUAGAAUCGUUUUUUCUUUUCAAGAAUCG